UCAAUAUCGUACCCAACCCAACAGAGAGCAACAAGCAAGAGAAAAUUAGAAAGACAGCAGUUGCACAGAGACAGGUUUCAUUUCCAACAAGAUAUGUGCUCCAUGAUUCAGUUCGAACUACAGAGGAAAUACUGAACUAAACACGUCGAGGUUUUCAUCGAGCUUUUGAAAUCUGCAGGCGGCGACAGACACUGGCGGCCAUCGGGCGGCCCUAGCCGCCGAAGCCGUAGAGGGUGCGGCCCUGGCGCUUGAGCGCGUAGACGACGUCCAUGGCGGUGACGGUCUUGCGACGGGCGUGCUCGGUGUAGGUGACGGCGUCGCGGAUGACGUUCUCGAGGAAGAUCUUGAGCACGCCGCGGGUCUCCUCGUAGAUGAGCCCGGAG
RNAcentral lists this long non-coding RNA (383 nucleotides) under Hordeum vulgare. RNAcentral describes it as "long non-coding RNA (HVUL_LNC000624)". Lineage: Eukaryota; Viridiplantae; Streptophyta; Magnoliopsida; Poales; Poaceae. The record is from RNAcentral.